Lolium rigidum is the source of this 655-nucleotide long non-coding RNA. RefSeq lists it as uncharacterized. NCBI's taxonomy places the organism in Eukaryota, Viridiplantae, Streptophyta, Magnoliopsida, Poales, Poaceae. The transcript is spliced from 2 exons. The record is from RefSeq and is a predicted model, not a curated record.
CCUCCUCGUCAUCCUCGAAGACACCUCGUCUAGCCGGAGCUGUUCCCGUCGCCACCAAAACAGGGGAGAGGAGAUGGCGGGCUAGGGAAGUGCGUUGUGCUGUUGCAAGCCGGCCGCCAGCGCGUGCAGAAGCAGUUCCAGUCAAUUCUCCACAUCGCCGCUGUCGUGCAUCUCCACAGACGCUUGCUCAAGAGUUUGAGGCUAGGCAGGGGAGAGGCUGCAAUCUCCAGGAGGCUCGCGCUGGUGGUCCGUCAAACGCUAGCGGUGUCGCAAGGCGGAGGUCGCCCGGAUGUGUUCCGACGACGGCGCUCGGAUCACACCGGCGGCCAGUAGUAGGCCGCGCGACUAUGAGUAACUCUCUAGCCAUAGUAGGCCGCACGAUGGCGAGUAGGUACGGCCGUCGUAGUUUUAGGUUAACUCGACUACCAUCUCUGUGAAGAUGGCCAAUCAAUAGUUAAUGAGAAACAUUUUGCUUAUAUUUGUAACUGCUCGGUGGGCUCAUACACAACUGAUGCGGACGCUCGGUGUGAAUGCGUAGCAUCUACAAACGCGGAGCAUAUUUGAGCCGCAUUUGUGUCUCCGUUGACAGUCUAUCACUAUGUGCCGGGCCACUGGACCUGGAUGCAAACGUAUUUUUUGACCACGCGGUCACAAA